This 253-nucleotide ribosomal RNA is filed under the name uncultured bacterium. RNAcentral's name for it is "partial 16S ribosomal RNA". It matches the Rfam family "Bacterial small subunit ribosomal RNA", at positions 524 to 776 of the family's 1533-position model. The record is from RNAcentral.
UACGGAGGGUGCGAGCGUUGUCCGGAAUCAUUGGGCGUAAAGGGCGCGUAGGCGGCUUGGCAAGUGGAAGGUGAAAUCCCUCGGCUUAACCGAGGAACUGCCCUCCAAACUGCUUUGCUUGAGGCCGGGAGAGGCGAGUGGAAUUCCCAGUGUAGCGGUGAAAUGCGUAGAUAUUGGGAGGAACACCAGUGGCGAAGGCGGCUCGCUGGACCGGUUCUGACGCUGAGGCGCGAAAGCGUGGGGAGCAAACGGG